CUGAGAAGCACGAAGAGGGAGCAGAGAACACAAUUCCUGAUGAGGAGGCUGUGGUCAAAGAAGGAAUGUCAGAGAACGAAAUUGUGGUGUUAAUUUUGGGAGUAACUGCGGUGGGAUUGCUAGUUUUUGCGUUUUACAUUUACUCUAAUAGGCGAUACUACGGCAUUGGACU
This 172-nucleotide non-coding RNA is filed under the name Paraphysomonas imperforata. Lineage: Eukaryota; Chrysophyceae; Chromulinales; Paraphysomonadaceae. The record is from RNAcentral.